Non-coding RNA from Ciona savignyi (Pacific transparent sea squirt), 46 nucleotides. Lineage: Eukaryota; Metazoa; Chordata; Ascidiacea; Phlebobranchia; Cionidae. The record is from Rfam.
CAAACGGCUAUUUUUAGAGCCACCAAAUAUUUCAAAGAGAUCUAAU